This 773-nucleotide long non-coding RNA is filed under the name Gallus gallus (chicken). Its description in RNAcentral is "long non-coding RNA NONGGAT008667". Lineage: Eukaryota; Metazoa; Chordata; Aves; Galliformes; Phasianidae. The record is from RNAcentral.
CUGGAGAUGUGCGUACCUUUGCUCUUGCACUCUGCAGAUACACCCUUCAGCAACCCCAAGCUGCAGAGAAGCGUGCUAUCAAGUGAGCAGCCAGCUGUGUUACAGCCAACUCGAAGAAUGCCCAGGUUAACUGAGUGAGUCAAAAGCAGACUUUCUGAAUGAGGGGAAACACAACAAAGCAUGGAAAUACACUACGGACUGUUUUUUGUUUGGUUUUUUAAAUCAACACUAAACAAAAUAACAAAGUCAGAAACUAAAUGGAGAAAUGGAGCACUUGUUCUUCUAGCUGCUUGAUUGCAGGUUGAAAGAUUCGCAGCAAAAGUUAGUUUCGAAAAGUCAGCAGUUUUCAUUAGAAACAAAUUAAUCAAGAAAUGGCUAACCAGCUUUGGCAAGAAGACACCACGCGAGCAGCCUACACUGAAGUACAUCUGUACCAGAAAUAAAUUACAGAGAAAAACUGCAGCAGGAAUGAAAGUCAGUGGUAUCUUGAGGAAAGAAGUAUAAUAUUAAAUUGCGUAAAGGGUGAAACAGAAGAUGUAAUUACAUAGAAAAAAACUGAGGUAGAUCCAGUUAAGCCUCACUUAGAAUGCAGAAACCACUUGCCAUAUUAGCUAGCGUGCUCCAAUAGCCUUAAUUACUACAGUAAUCUGAGCCAUUCUCCUGCCUGAUCUUGAGCCAGCUUGAAAGGCUCUGAGCAACGGCAUGUGUAAAUAUCCAGCUUAAAUCAAUAAUCAGAAAGAAGGAAUAAAAUGCAGAGCGUGGAUUUGGCCAUA